This 137-nucleotide small nucleolar RNA is filed under the name Vicugna pacos (alpaca). Lineage: Eukaryota; Metazoa; Chordata; Mammalia; Artiodactyla; Camelidae. The record is from RNAcentral.
UUGGCCCAGAAUCAAGGCCAGCAGUUUGCUGAAGCUGUUGGUUUCAAGCAGGAGCCUAAAGAAAUGUCUUUCUUUGGUCUGUUGGCCAUUUCAAAAUUAUGGAAAUCUAAUGGUCAGUUCGUUAGAAAGAAACUUCU